CCAGGAAAGGGGAGAACCUGUCCAUUUCCAGAGCAUUUCCCCAGUAGAUCUGUUUGCUUCCUACAACCUCUGAAGACAUAUAAUUACGACACUAUGGCAGGGAUUUUGCGUUCAGUGGUUCACAGGCCCCCAGGCAGGCUACAGACUGUGACAAAACGUGUGGAAUCUCUCAUGGAUUGGAUUCGUCACAAAGUUACCAAAUCAAGAAUUCCAGAUAAAGUGUUUCAGCCUUCACCUGAAGAUCAUGAAAAGUAUGGUGGGGAUCCACAGCACCCUCAUAAACUACAUGUUGUUACCAGAAUAAAAAGUACAAUAAGACGACCAUAUUGGGAAAAAGAUGUAAUCAAGAUGCUCGGAUUAGAAAAAGCACACACUCCUCAAGUUCAUAAGAACAUCCCUUCAGUAAAUGCAAAGCUGAAAGUGGUUAAGCAUCUCAUAAGAAUCCAGCCUCUGAAGCUGCCUCAAGGACUUCCCACAGAAGAGAACAUGGCUAACACAUGCCUCAAGAGUACUGGGGAGUUAGUAGUGCAGUGGCAAAUGAAGCCUGUGGACACCUGUAAGCCCAGCACUCAGGGGAUGAAGGCAGAAGAAUCCUUGCAAGUUCAAGGAUAG
RNA transcript from Octodon degus (degu), 612 nucleotides. It is a transcript of the gene named 39S ribosomal protein L30, mitochondrial pseudogene, with no coding region annotated. Lineage: Eukaryota; Metazoa; Chordata; Mammalia; Rodentia; Octodontidae. The record is from RefSeq and is a predicted model, not a curated record. The transcript has 2 exons.